RNAcentral lists this ribosomal RNA (497 nucleotides) under uncultured bacterium. RNAcentral describes it as "partial 16S ribosomal RNA". It matches the Rfam family "Bacterial small subunit ribosomal RNA", at positions 28 to 507 of the family's 1533-position model. The record is from RNAcentral.
GAUGAACGCUGGCGGCGUGCCUAAUACAUGCAAGUCGAGCGAACGGACGAGAAGCUUGCUUCUCUGAUGUUAGCGGCGGACGGGUGAGUAACACGUGGAUAACCUACCUAUAAGACUGGGAUAACUUCGGGGAACCGGAGCUAAUACCGGAUAAUAUUUUGAACCGCAUGGUUCAAAAGUGAAAGACGGUCUUGCUGUCACUUAUAGAUGGAUCCGCGCUGCAUUAGCUAGUUGGUAAGGUAACGGCUUACCAAGGCAACGAUGCAUAGCCGACCUGAGAGGGUGAUCAGCCACACUGGAACUGAGACACGGUCCAGACUCCUACGGGAGGCAGCAGUAGGGAAUCUUCCGCAAUGGGCGAAAGCCUGACGGAGCAACGCCGCGUGAGUGAUGAAGGUCUUCGGAUCGUAAAACUCUGUUAUUAGGGAAGAACAUAUGUGUAAGUAACUGUGCACAUCUUGACGGUACCUAAUCAGAAAGCCACGGCUAACUACGUG